GAUGAACGCUAGCUACAGGCUUAACACAUGCAAGUCGAGGGGAAACGACAUCGAAAGCUUGCUUUUGAUGGGCGUCGACCGGCGCACGGGUGAGUAACGCGUAUCCAACCUGCCCACCACUUGGGGAUAACCUUGCGAAAGUAAGACUAAUACCCAAUGACGUCUCUAGAAGACAUCUGAAAGCGAUUAAAGAUUUAUCGGUGAUGGAUGGGGAUGCGUCUGAUUAGCUUGUCGGCGGGGUAACGGCCCACCAAGGCGACGAGCAGUAGGGGUUCUGAGAGGAAGGUCCCCCACAUUGGAACUGAGACACGGUCCAAACUCCUACGGGAGGCAGCAGUGAGGAAUAUUGGUCAAUGGGCGAGAGCCUGAACCAGCCAAGUAGCGUGCAGGAUGACGGCCCUAUGGGUUGUAAACUGCUUUUAUAAGGGAAUAAAGUGAGUCUCGUGAGACUUUUUGCAUGUACCUUAUGAAUAAGGACCGGCUAAUUCCGUGCCAGCAGCCGCAGUAA
This 508-nucleotide ribosomal RNA is filed under the name uncultured bacterium. RNAcentral describes it as "partial 16S ribosomal RNA". It matches the Rfam family "Bacterial small subunit ribosomal RNA", at positions 28 to 523 of the family's 1533-position model. The record is from RNAcentral.